GAUGAACGCUAGCGGCAGGCCUAACACAUGCAAGUCGAGGGGGAAGUUACUUUCGGGUAACAGAGACCGGCGUACGGGUGCGUAACGCGUAUACAAUCUGCCUUUCACUGGGGGAUAGCCCGAAGAAAUUUGGAUUAAUACCCCAUAGUAUAGUAAUACGGCAUCGUGAUACUAUUAAAACUUAGGUGGUGAAAGAUGAGUAUGCGUUCUAUUAGUUAGUUGGAGAGGUAACGGCUCCCCAAGGCGAUGAUAGAUAGGGGUUCUGAGAGGGAUGUCCCCCACACUGGUACUGAGAUACGGACCAGACUCCUACGGGAGGCAGCAGUGAGGAAUAUUGGACAAUGGUCGGAAGACUGAUCCAGCCAUGCCGCGUGCAGGAUGAAGGUCUUAUGGAUUGUAAACUGCUUUUGUAAGGGAAGAAUAAGGGCUACGUGUAGUUUGAUGACGGUACCUUACGAAUAAGCAUCGGCUAACUCCGUGCCAGCAGCCGCGGUAAUACGGAGGAUGCGAGCGUUAUCCGGAAUCAUUGGGUUUAAAGGGUCUGUAGGCGGGCUGGUAAGUCAGAGGUGAAAGCGCUCAGCUCAACUGAGCAACUGCCUUUGAAACUGUUGGUCUUGAAUGGUUGUGAAGUAGUUGGAAUGUGUAGUGUAGCGGUGAAAUGCUUAGAUAUUACACAGAACACCGAUAGCGAAGGCAUAUUACUAACAAUUGAUUGACGCUGAUGGACGAAAGCGUGGGGAGCGAACAGG
RNAcentral lists this ribosomal RNA (749 nucleotides) under Capnocytophaga ochracea. RNAcentral describes it as "bacterial SSU rRNA". It matches the Rfam family "Bacterial small subunit ribosomal RNA", at positions 28 to 776 of the family's 1533-position model. The record is from RNAcentral. Lineage: Bacteria; Pseudomonadati; Bacteroidota; Flavobacteriia; Flavobacteriales; Flavobacteriaceae.